Molecule: unclassified non-coding RNA, 223 nt
Filed under: plant metagenome
Description: partial contains small subunit ribosomal RNA, internal transcribed spacer 1, and 5.8S ribosomal RNA
Source: RNAcentral
UUUCCGUAGGUGAACCUGCGGAAGGAUCAUUAAAGAGAAUAUGCCCUUCGGGGUAGAACUCCCACCCUUUGUUUAUAUUACCUUUGUUGCUUUGGCAGGCCCGUCUUCGGACCACCGGCUUCGGCUGGUCAGUGCUUGCCAGAGGACCCAAGACUCUUAUUAUUAAUGUCGUCUGAGUACUAUAUAAUAGUUAAAACUUUCAACAACGGAUCUCUUGGUUCUG